RNAcentral lists this ribosomal RNA (165 nucleotides) under uncultured Acidovorax sp. Its description in RNAcentral is "partial 16S ribosomal RNA". It matches the Rfam family "Bacterial small subunit ribosomal RNA", at positions 352 to 509 of the family's 1533-position model. The record is from RNAcentral. Lineage: Bacteria; Pseudomonadati; Pseudomonadota; Betaproteobacteria; Burkholderiales; Comamonadaceae.
CAGUGGGGAAUUUUGGACAAUGGGCGCAAGCCUGAUCCAGCCAUGCCGCGUGCAGGAUGAAGGCCUUCGGGUUGUAAACUGCUUUGGUACGGAACGAAAAGACUCCUUCUAAUACAGGGGGUCCAUGACGGUACCGUAAGAAUAAGCACCGGCUAACUACGUGCC